Long non-coding RNA from Solanum pennellii, 1022 nucleotides. RefSeq lists it as uncharacterized. The transcript has 2 exons. The record is from RefSeq and is a predicted model, not a curated record. Lineage: Eukaryota; Viridiplantae; Streptophyta; Magnoliopsida; Solanales; Solanaceae.
CUUAAACUUUUUUUUUGUUUUUUAAUAGCCCCAGCCUACUCCCUAAAUCCCAUCCAACCUUCUAGUCCAUCCCUUUAUCCAAUUACUCUGUUUUCUUCUUAUUCGAGCGACCAGGGAGAUCCGAGAAACAUGGUAUGUGUUUCUUCUUCUCUAUAGCGCAGCACACCCAAAUCGCUCUUCGCUCCAGCAAGCGACAACAAAAGGGCAAAUAGACGAUGUAUCUCUCAACUCUCAGUAACAGCAUCAGCGUGCUCUCGUCCUCGUGACCUCGAGAUCGAGUCACGUUGCUCGGCAAGGACACUCGAGUCAAUCCCAACCGUCCGUCUCCCAUUCCUCUUUCGUAAUGGGUUGAAAAUCUCAGAAAAAGGAUAUCUGGUGAAAGAUUCUCGGAAGUCAAAUUCAAAAAUGGGCCCUUCUUAUCAAAAUCCUCAUUCGAUUUCCCCCCAAGAAAAAAUAAUUUCUGCCCUAGUCUCCCUCUUUAUAACUUUCUAUCUUUCUCAGUAUAAAGGGGAGAAAAAAAAAUAUUUUAUUUUUGGAAAAUCCUUUUGUUGGAAAUUUUUGAUCGGAAGUCUUAGAGAAAAAUCGAGAAUAACCUUAAGAAAAUAUUAGCUAAGAAAUACAGUAAGACGUUGAAAGAAGAGGGUGUCUUGGUUUCGAUCGAGACACCACGUUUUUCAUUCCAUUUGCAUCGGUUCAUUUUGAGAUGCGAAUUUGUGAAGGAAGUCUCCGGCAACUCAACGUCCCAGGAAAGUUGCAUUAAAGCCAAAUUCCGCUAUCGAGUCAGCCAGCAUUAAAAGCAAUGUACAGGCCGAGAAAAUUCGAGAGAUUGGGCUGGAGAAUCCAAAUUUAUAUUUUUUAAAUAUUGUAUUUUUUUUUUUUUGAUUUUGGGGUAUAAGCAUUUGUCAUUUUUGUAUUUAUUAUUUUGCUAGAAUUUAGGACAGGUACCAAAUAGAUUGGCCCAAAAAUAAAUGGAUCUAAAUAUCGAUUCAGGUGAACAGAAAAUGGACGUGGACUUAACUCUC